UACAGAGGGUGCGAGCGUUAAUCGGAUUUACUGGGCGUACAGCGCGCGUAGGUGGUUAAUUAAGUCAAAUGUGAAAUCCCCGAGCUUAACUUGGGAAUUGCAUUCGAUACUGGUUAGCCAGAGUAUGGGAGAGGAUGGUAGAAUUCCAGGUGUAGCGGUGAAAUGCGUAGAGAUCUGGAGGAAUACCGAUGGCGAAGGCAGCCAUCUGGCCUAAUACUGACACUGAGGUGCGAAAGCAUGGGGAGCAAACAGG
RNAcentral lists this ribosomal RNA (253 nucleotides) under uncultured bacterium. RNAcentral's name for it is "partial 16S ribosomal RNA". It matches the Rfam family "Bacterial small subunit ribosomal RNA", at positions 524 to 776 of the family's 1533-position model. The record is from RNAcentral.